UCGGGUAUGGUGUAACGGCUAACAUUGCCGCCUUUCAUUGCAUAUUCAACCGCAUGGUUUAUAAAUGUUCCGCGGCAGCUCGGGGUUCGAUUCCCCGUACCCGAA
Termitomyces sp. T32_za158 is the source of this 105-nucleotide non-coding RNA. The record is from the annotation of a GenBank genome assembly. NCBI's taxonomy places the organism in Eukaryota, Fungi, Basidiomycota, Agaricomycetes, Agaricales, Lyophyllaceae.